GGCUGCUGCAGUCCCAGGAACCUGAGGUCCCCGAAGGCCGGGCCCCCGCUCCCCGGACCCGCCGUGGGGAGCGCGCCAACCCCGGAGAAGUGGGUAAGUGUGGGUCGGCCUGCACGUGAGCGCGCUUCGCGGGUGAGGUUGGUAAUGGGGGCCACGUGGAGAACUUGGCCGACUGUCCCGAUGAUAAUGAGAUUAGGAAGUGCAGUCAGAAUCGACAACUGACGGUUUUUAUGCCUGUCUGACCGCAGUCGCUGAAACCUCGACAGGGUGAUUGAACAUCACCGCCAGAACUUGGCCCUUAACACGCGUCGCCCUGCAUGUGCCAGCCGGGAGCAGGAUCCCUCCCUAAGGUAGGACCUAGUCCGGGCGGGGUUGGAGCUGUAAUUUGGAACGUUUUGGUUGCUCAAAUGCAGUGGAAUUGGCUGAUAGUUUACAGUUGUAACGUUUGUGCAUUGGACACCGCACCAUCACAAUGUGUUGCUGAGAACAGCCAACGGCCUGGUUGUUUGUGGAGCAAUUACGGCUUGUUUCCAGGUGGUGUCCAGGUUUCUGGAGUGGUACUGGGGAGUGGGGAGGUGCUUGACUGCUCUGAUGAAAUCACUUAUAGGAAGUGCCGUCAGAAGCGAUAACUGACGAUAACAGUUCCUGGCUGACUGCAGUCAACAAGUCCUCCCCAGCUGCCGGUGUCCUGGCGGAUCUUGGUUUGAGCAGUGACCUUUAUUAUCUGUAUUCACCCAGGUUGCCAGUUAGCGUGCGAUCGUUAGCAGCUGAGGAUUCGAGUGAUGAGUGGCCUGCCUUGAGGUGAGUUUUGAUCUCUGGAGAAGUUUAGUGGUUGAGUGAGCCUCCUUGUUACAUUAGGUGAAGUUCCCGGUUAGAUAGUGGGAAUUUUAUCGGUUAACCUAAUCCCUUGUAUCCGUGUAGCCCUUGACCUUUAUUGGCAACAUCUCUGAGAUCCUGAUUAUGGUUCAUAGUGGUCGUGGAGCUGAGUGCAGAGGAAACCCAGGAAUUUCCUUUUCAUCUCACUGCUGUAUAAUCCUGAGCAAAUCGCCUAUUUGCUGAGAUUGUUUUCCUCGUCCUUUAAAAUGGUAGCUUUAGGUCUGGGAUCUUUAAAAUGAUGUGACUAGGGGCACCUGGGUGGCUCAGUCAUUUAAACACCUGACUUGGCCUCAGGUCAUGAUCUCGCAGUUCAUGAGUUCCAGCCCUGCAUUGGGCUCUGUGCUGACAGGUCAGAACCUAGAGCCUGCUUCAGAUUCUGUCUCCCUCUUUCUGCCCCUCCCCUGCCCGUGCUUGCUCUCUAUCUUUAAAACUAAGUAUUUUUAAAAACUGAUGUGACUUAAGUAAGUGGAGGUUACGAUAUCCAAAGAAGCCAGUUAAGACUUUUAGACUUCUGUGGUUUAAUUUACAAAAAAGCAUCUCCAGAACGUUUCCAAGAACUUCUAUUACGAUGAACUUGGGAGCUGUAGUUGAGGCUAUCCUGAUAAGACCUACCUGUUUUGUCUUUGGUGUCUGCUGCCUGUCUAGGGGUGCCUGAAUUGCCCCAGGUUUUGAGUGCUGGGUUGUCGAAAAUCAGCGAUCAGCAGUGUGGAGUUGAAGCUGGUGGUGCCACAGCUCAGCCCAAGUAGAGGUAAGCUUUUGUCUGGACAAGGGCCCCCUCCCCCUCCUUGGUAGAAUGAAUAAGCUAAUUUUGUGUAAACUGACAUGCAGAAAAGAUAUCAAAUGAUGAAAUCACCUAAAAAUAGCUGGAAUUACCGGCAGAUUGUGUAGUGUUGAACCUGUGGUUUUCUGAAGAUAUCUGUGUAUGCUAUGAAUAACCGUUGGUCGGAGUAGAGAGUGAGACUGAUACUUAGUGUCUUUGCAGGCUAUCUUCCAGAGAAUGGUCAGCCAUGCGAGGACCAGUGACCACCAUCAGCUUGGACUGAAAACCUAGACUUCAGUAGUUGGUGUGGAAACAGUACUUACCUGAGGCUGAGAUUCAGAGCCCGUUCCGUUACCAGCAGUAGAACCAACAAAUGUGUUUUUCUAAGAUAGGUCACUGUUGGUUUUCUAGUGUUACAAAUAUAUUUCUAGUUCUCCCUUGCCCAAAGAGCUUUCUGCACUUUUUAAUUUUGUAUGAAUUCUGUUGGGUGAGGGUCUGAGUUCUUAAGCUUAAAGCUUAUUUCUUCCUGAAAUUAGCAUUUCCAUGCAAUUACAAUAAAUCAGUACUACAAUAAAGGAUGGUUUUUAGUAUUGAUUCUUAAAAAUGUAUUUGGAGAAAAGUUUGAUUACUGCUGUUAGAUAUGAGCAGUCCAGGUAUUGGCAUUUGUCAACAUCUGUAUGGUCCGGCCUAAGCUGUUCUCCUGUAACAACUUCAGACUUUAAGGGUGAAAGUUCCAAAGCAUUUAAGGCAUCCACACCUUUGAUUCCAGUCUGUUGCCCUUGGGCCACGUCCUUUUGCAUAGCCUCCACCUCCUGAAACUAUGCUUAGUCCAACCAUUGAGCAGUGGCAGGCAAGGUGCCAUAGUCUGGUUCUUGACCUAGCCCCCAUCUUGCUGCCUUCCUGAGUUGGGAUCUUGCCUGUCAACGAGGCUGGAGGCCUGUCAGGCCGUGCUUCCCAGCUGUCUGCCAUUUGCCUGAGCAGUCUGGUCACCAUCUAUGGGCUUUUUUUCAGCUUAAAAGGGCUGUUUUCCAAUCUCCCUGGACUUGAAGUCUAUGCCUUGGGUCUAGGCUUAUUGUGCCUAGAAGGCUUGUAGGCCUUGAGUAAGAAGAGAGGGUGAAAAAAACCUUUGCUUCCUCUCCUUGGGAACCUCUACUUUUGGGAGGCCGUAGAUCUGCCAAGAGUUUGAAGUUUAAUCUCAUGGUCUUGGGUUUUUUUAAGGAGCCCUCCAUAGGAGGUUUUGGGAGUGUGCUCCAUAUCACGAAUUACUUUGGGGACUUUGAGAAAUUCUGAGAAAGACCCUUAAGAUCCUUUUAAAGGGGCAGUACUCUGGCUUGCACACUUGCAACACUGAACCCUAGUGAAGGGCUGGUAGACUUUGGCUUGGGGCAGGGGUUAUGGUGUAGGGUUUCUGGGUGGGCCUUUUUAUGCAUGCCGGUAUUUGUAGGCCUUCUGGGAUGCUCUGGAAGGGUAUGGGGUAGCUGGGCCUGGGGUGGGGCCCUGGAAUCCC
This 3143-nucleotide long non-coding RNA is filed under the name Lynx pardinus (Iberian lynx). Lineage: Eukaryota; Metazoa; Chordata; Mammalia; Carnivora; Felidae. The record is from RNAcentral.